Molecule: non-coding RNA, 965 nt
Organism: Aegilops tauschii subsp. strangulata
Lineage: Eukaryota; Viridiplantae; Streptophyta; Magnoliopsida; Poales; Poaceae
Source: RefSeq, a predicted model, not a curated record
UCUUCUUUGGUUCCUUCACGCGAGAAUUCCAGCCUAGCACCGCCUGCGGCGGCAGCCGCUAGGGCCAGGGCCUGAUGGCUAGGGUGUGCGCUGGACCCUGCAGCGCGGCGGAGCACAGUGGCCAGGAGCCGGCCGGAAGAGGCACCGUACCGGGAGUUUCUCCUCGGCCGCCGCCGCAUAGGCCGCUAUCAAUACCUCCCCGUUAUUUACUGUACCUUUGACCUUCCGUUUCUUGUUCUGGAUCUUCGUGAUUUGUGUUUUUGGUUGGAUGAAUCUAGUCAUUGGGUGCUGUUGCUCGCAGGCUGCAGCCAUGGAAGAUCCCGGAGGAAGAUUGACGCCAACGGAUGCCGAUCUUGAAUAGAACGAUCAAGGAUGAGGUUUCCCGAUCUUAAACUGUGAUUCUAGUACACAUUCUAGAUCAGAACUUCUGAUUUUAGCAGGUGGUAACUGGUAACUGAAAAACUUGCACGGUUAUUAAGUUUCCAUACCUGGAUACAACAAUCCUUAGCAUCUUCACAAGAGUACGGGAAACUAAGAACGCCGUUGCUAAGGCUGGUCGUUAUCAAGUGGGUUCGAUUCUAAUCACUGGGGAUUUAUGUUCAGGAAUCAGGAAUUCUUCUCUCCACUUCAGUUGAAACUUCAAGCUCUGACCUGGUGGCCUACCCUGCCAGCAGCCUCGCUCACACGGGCGUUACAGUUCGUUGCCAAGACGCCAAAUACCCAGUUGGCGGCGCCGGGGAGCGUGCUGCAGCUGUAGGUGUUCCACCUCAGUUCUUCAUAGACCUGGUAGACGGGGAGUAGGAGGAGAAGCAGAUGCCGGUUCCGCAGUGGCGAUGGCUACAGCCAUGGGACGGAUGAUCUUCGUGGGAGAUUGAGGCCCGCGUGGAUGCCGAUCUUUUCUGGAGCCCCAUGAGAGCCGGGAGACGAGUUCGUGAACGAGGAACCUGUUGAGUACGCUUACGAGG